Molecule: long non-coding RNA, 782 nt
Organism: Hypanus sabinus (Atlantic stingray)
Lineage: Eukaryota; Metazoa; Chordata; Chondrichthyes; Myliobatiformes; Dasyatidae
Exons: 3
Source: RefSeq, a predicted model, not a curated record
CAAAACUGUUACAGAAACAACAAUGAAGAAUUCUUCUACGUCUGAGUGCAAUGGUAUUCCUGAGUCUCCACCCAGGACUUUCAUGACUGACGGUAGUGAAAACUGAACUACUGAUAUGAUGAAGGAAAUCCUGAACACUGCCAGAGAUGGAGGACCUUCAUUGCCGCCAUAAACGCCAGCAGUGUAAUAAGCCGUAGAGGUACAACGGAAUCACUGGUACACUUGGAAAGACCGGGUCCUUGGAUGGUGGAGGGGAAGUGGAAGGACAAGGGUCACAUUGCCUGCAACAGUACGAGGAUGGAACAAUAAGGACGGUGGUGCAGUGUUGCAGGAAUGGACUUCUCAAACGAUAAAAUGGACUCUUUACCUCACAAUCUACCUCAUUGUGAUAUCGCACUUUACUUACAGUGUACUAUAAUUUUUCAAUAGUUUUUAUGGUUUUUAUUCUGCAUUUUUAUGGUUUUACCUUUUUCCAGCUCAAUGCACUGAGAAAUGAUUUGAUCUGUUUGAACAGUACACGAGACAAGCUGUUCAAUGUAUCUUGGCACAUGUGACAAUAAUAAACCAAUACCAGUGCCAUUUCUAUUUGAACCAUAAAUUCUGAGGGUAAAAUAAUGUACUCUUCAAUUUUUUUACUGAAAUUUUACUGCGAAUCUCCUCAGAUGAUGCUAACUUCAAAGUAAUAUACAGUAUUCAUAAAUUAUACUUUCAAAUCUACUCAGAUGAUUCAUCCACAUCCCACACCAUGUCUGAAUCCUUUUGAAGUAGGUGCCAUCGUAUUG